Molecule: long non-coding RNA, 1207 nt
Organism: Eutrema salsugineum
Lineage: Eukaryota; Viridiplantae; Streptophyta; Magnoliopsida; Brassicales; Brassicaceae
Exons: 6
Source: RefSeq, a predicted model, not a curated record
CACGUAAGCAGAAAUUCUGCCGGGCGAGAGAGAGAAAAGAGGAGGUUGGUGGCAUCAGCUUACGGCGAUCGUCUGCCUUUGCCGUCGAAUCUCCGGUUAGCUUCAUUUAUAUUACCGAUUUUUUACUUGGAGUAGAAGUUACUUAGAAGGUUUGACCUCACCUCCCAUCUUGAUGGGUUGAAGACUAAAGGAUCCUCAUACUUGUCUGGAUUCAAAUGUACAGCUGGAGGACAGACCAUCACCGCCCAGCCGGCUGGAAUUAACUGCAGGGUCAUCUGAAAGAAACUUGAUGGCUAAAGUUAAAGCGAGAGAAGUUGUUUCGAAGCUAGCGAAUAGCAAGACGAACAUCAAGUCCAGUGCAAUCUCUUCUGUCAGAAUUGUCCCCUCUUUCUGAAUCUCUUCAAUGACGUAAUCAAAGAAAUCACUUGGGUUCUUCCGUGGUUUCUUGCGCCUCUCCUGAAGCAUAUUCCUCAGCAUCUUCAUUGCAUUUUCCCUGCCCUGCAAUAUCAUUUUCAGCAUUAGUACCAUAUCAGAGGCAGGGAAAGCUUAGAGAAUGGCUCGUGGUAUCCAUAUGAUGAUGAUUCACCUUGAGACAUUUGUGAUAAGCUGUGCCUGGAAUGUCAAACGGGAAGGAGAUCAGUCCUUGAAUAAAAGCAACGAAGUUGGCCCUUAGAUUCUCUGAUGACUUGUCUGGAUCAUGGCUGAUCAGCUUCUUCGCAUCAGCUCCACUUGAGGAAGCAUCUUCUUGAGACCAUCGUAGCCAAAGAGAGUCAAGACCAUGCUUUUAAGGAGGGAUGUCUGAGGUUGUGUUUGGCUUGAAGAACUGGAUCGUCUCGCCGAGUAGCGGGAAACCCAUCGAACCAGGUGGAAGCUUCCCUCUGCAUUUGGGAUUCCUCCAACUGUAAACCCAAUGUGUGAUGCUUAUGAGAAGCAGAGAAGCCCAAAUGAACAAUGCCCACAUCACAACAGAAACUGAAAACGUGCAGAGGAAAGAGACAAAGAGAAUAAAGAGAAGGAGAAGAAAGAGGAGUUGAGUGCUGGCGCAUCUUCGUCAAACCAUUAUGAUGAUUGCUUAAAUAGGCAAGGCAAGUCUCCACACAUAACUCUUAUUAGAUAAUAAUAAAUAAUGUCCUCAAAAAGUAGUUGCAGAAUGAAUAUGGUUUAAUCAUUAAAAAAAAAAACUGAACUCUGUUUAUAGAAACCAUAC